Molecule: ribosomal RNA, 723 nt
Filed under: Triticum aestivum (bread wheat)
Lineage: Eukaryota; Viridiplantae; Streptophyta; Magnoliopsida; Poales; Poaceae
Description: partial small subunit ribosomal RNA
Source: RNAcentral
AUGGCAGAAUGCUUCAAUAAGGUGCUCAAGGGUGUGCGUGCAUUACCCGUGACGGCAAUAGUUCAAUACACAUUUGACAAGAUGAAUGGAUACUUUUUAAAGUACUCAAUGAAGACGGAUAAGCAGAUUGCUGGUGAGAACAAGGAUAAGCACAAGUACUAUUUCCCACCAAAGGUUGAAGAAUGGUUGGACUUUCAAUCACGAAAGGCAGACUCCCAAGAAGUUGUACUAUAUGACGACAACGAGUGGAAGUAUGAAGUGAAAGAGCCUGGAGGAACCACAAACGAUGGCCACCAACACGGAGGCCGCGCUUUCAAGGUCUCCCUAACACGGUGUGAUUGCAGCUGCAUGAGGCCAUCGUUGCUUCAUCUCACAUGCUCGCACUUGUUAAAUGCAUCCCGUGUUAGGAAUGUGGACGUCAAUCACCCUCUUACCGUGAGGGAGUCCGAGUUCUCAAUCAUGACGGUAAAGAAUACAUGGGCUCCCCGGUUUCAGCCAUACUUGGACCAAUCACAAUGGCCGGAGUAUCAUGGAGUUCAACUAUGGCCGGACCCGGAAUUGAAGGUCGUUAGACGGGGAAGACGUAAGACAAAGCGUCUUAGAGGUGACAUGGACGGAUGGGGCCGUGGUGGCGGUGGAGAAUACGGCACCGGCCAAUUCCAAGAGCCUAAAAUUGCAACGCAUUUACGGAGGAAAAGAAAGAGAAUGGAGGAGUUUACCUAG